GAUGAACGCUGGCGGCGUGCCUAAUACAUGCAAGUCGAGCGAACGGACGAGAAGCUUGCUUCUCUGAUGUUAGCGGCGGACGGGUGAGUAACACGUGGAUAACCUACCUAUAAGACUGGGAUAACUUCGGGAAACCGUAGCUAAUACCGGAUAAUAUUUUGAUCCGCAUGGUUCAAAAGUGAAAGACGGUCUUGCUGUCACUUAUAGAUGGAUCCGCGCUGCAUUAGCUAGUUGGUAAGGUAACGGCUUACCAAGGCAACGAUGCAUAGCCGACCUGAGAGGGUGAUCGGCCACACUGGAACUGAGACACGGUCCAGACUCCUACGGGAGGCAGCAGUAGGGAAUCUUCCGCAAUGGGCGAAAGCCUGACGGAGCAACGCCGCGUGAGUGAUGAAGGUCUUCGGAUCGUAAAACUCUGUUAUCAGGGAAGAACAUAUGUGUAAGUAACUGUGCACAUCUUGACGGUACCUAAUCAGAAAGCCACGGCUAACUACGUG
Molecule: ribosomal RNA, 497 nt
Filed under: uncultured bacterium
Lineage: Bacteria
Description: partial 16S ribosomal RNA
Rfam family: Bacterial small subunit ribosomal RNA
Source: RNAcentral